UGCAGAGGGUGCGAGCGUUAAUCGGAAUUACUGGGCGUAAAGCGUGCGUAGACGGCUAUCUAAGUCGGGUGUGAAAGCCCCGGGCUCAACCUGGGAAUUGCAUUCGAGACUGAAUAGCUAGGGUACGGUAGAGGGAAGUGGAAUUUCCGGUGUAGCGGUGAAAUGCGUAGAUAUCGCUUGGAACGCCAAUGGUGAAAACAGCUCGCUGGGGGUGUGCUGACGCUGAGACACGAAAGCCAGGGGAGCGAACGGG
RNAcentral lists this ribosomal RNA (253 nucleotides) under uncultured bacterium. RNAcentral describes it as "partial 16S ribosomal RNA". It matches the Rfam family "Bacterial small subunit ribosomal RNA", at positions 524 to 776 of the family's 1533-position model. The record is from RNAcentral.